RNAcentral lists this ribosomal RNA (440 nucleotides) under uncultured bacterium. Its description in RNAcentral is "partial 16S ribosomal RNA". It matches the Rfam family "Bacterial small subunit ribosomal RNA", at positions 338 to 795 of the family's 1533-position model. The record is from RNAcentral.
CCUACGGGUGGCAGCAGUGGGGAAUAUUGCACAAUGGGGGAAACCCUGAUGCAGCGACGCCGCGUGAGUGAAGAAGUAAUUCGUUAUGUAAAGCUCUAUCAGCAGGGAAGAAAAUGACGGUACCUGAGUAAGAAGCCCCGGCUAACUACGUGCCAGCAGCCGCGGUAAUACGUAGGGGGCAAGCGUUAUCCGGAUUUACUGGGUGUAAAGGGAGCGUAGACGGCAAUGCAAGUCUGGAGUGAAAGGCGGGGGCUCAACCCCCGGACUGCUCUGGAAACUGUUGAACUUGAGUGCAGAAGAGGAGAGUGGAACGCCAGGGGUAGCGGUGGAAGGCGUAGAUAUAUGGAAGAACACCAGUGGCGAAGGCGGCUCUCUGGUCGGCAACUGACGCUGAGGCUCGAAAGCAUGGGUAGCGAACAGGAUUAGAUACCCGGGUAGUC